CCAAUAGCGUAUAUUAAAGUUGUUGCAGUUAAAAAGCUCGUAGUUGAAUUUCGGGAUCAAUUAGUCGGUCGUGCCUCUGGUACGUACUGGUUUUAUUGGUUCCUCCCUUCUGACGAAACAUGAUGUCAUUAAUUUGGUGUCGUGGAGAAUCAGGACUGUUACCUUGAAAAAAUUAGAGUGUUUAUAGCAGGCUAACGCUUGAAUACAUUAGCAUGGAAUAAUGAAAUAGGACGUUCGACCCUAUUUUGUUGGUUUCUAGGAUCGACGUAAUGAUUAAUAGGGAUAGUUGGGGGCAUUAGUAUUCAAUUGUCAGAGGUGAAAUUCUUGGAUUUAUUGAAGACUAACUACUGCGAAAGCAUUUGCCAAGGAUGUUUUCAUUAAUCAAGAACGAAAGUUAGGGGAUCGAAGACGAUCAGAUACCGUCGUAGUCUUAACCAUAAACUAUGCCGACUAGGGAUCGGAUGAUGUUAAUUUUUUAAUGACUCAUUCGGCGCCUUACG
Molecule: ribosomal RNA, 500 nt
Filed under: uncultured Glomus
Lineage: Eukaryota; Fungi; Glomeromycota; Glomeromycetes; Glomerales; Glomeraceae
Also listed under: 1 other name
Description: SSU rRNA
Rfam family: Eukaryotic small subunit ribosomal RNA
Source: RNAcentral